GCCUUCGUGGUGUAAUGGUCAGCACACUGAGUCAGUAUUUCAGAGGUCCGCGGUUCGAUUCCCGGCGAAGGCG
This 73-nucleotide transfer RNA is filed under the name Stegodyphus mimosarum. It matches the Rfam family "tRNA". From Rfam's summary of the family: Transfer RNA (tRNA) molecules are approximately 80 nucleotides in length. Their secondary structure includes four short double-helical elements and three loops (D, anti-codon, and T loops). Lineage: Eukaryota; Metazoa; Arthropoda; Arachnida; Araneae; Eresidae. The record is from Rfam by way of RNAcentral.